AUUGAACGCUGGCGGCAUGCCUUACACAUGCAAGUCGAACGGCAGCACGGGAGCAAUCCUGGUGGCGAGUGGCGAACGGGUGAGUAAUAUAUCGGAACGUGCCCAGUCGUGGGGGAUAACGUAGCGAAAGCUACGCUAAUACCGCAUACGAUCUAUGGAUGAAAGCGGGGGAUCGCAAGACCUCGCGCGAUUGGAGCGGCCGAUAUCAGAUUAGGUAGUUGGUGGGGUAAAAGCCUACCAAGCCUUCGAUCUGUAGCUGGUCUGAGAGGACGUCCAGCCACACUGGAACUGAGACACGGUCCAGACUCCUACGGGAGGCAGCAGUGGGGAAUUUUGGACAAUGGGCGCAACCCUGAUCCAGCCAUUCCGCGUGAGUGAAGAAGGCC
This 386-nucleotide ribosomal RNA is filed under the name uncultured bacterium. RNAcentral describes it as "bacterial SSU rRNA". It matches the Rfam family "Bacterial small subunit ribosomal RNA", at positions 30 to 416 of the family's 1533-position model. The record is from RNAcentral.